AAGAUACUAGUAAUAAAUAUUACACUGCCUUGUCAAGACAGAAUUGCUGGUUAGACCCCUGCGUCUCUUA
RNAcentral lists this transfer RNA (70 nucleotides) under Nettastoma parviceps (shortsnouted sorcerer). Its description in RNAcentral is "tRNA-Asp". It matches the Rfam family "tRNA". Rfam says of the family: Transfer RNA (tRNA) molecules are approximately 80 nucleotides in length. Their secondary structure includes four short double-helical elements and three loops (D, anti-codon, and T loops). Lineage: Eukaryota; Metazoa; Chordata; Actinopteri; Anguilliformes; Nettastomatidae. The record is from RNAcentral.